This 339-nucleotide unclassified non-coding RNA is filed under the name soil metagenome. Its description in RNAcentral is "partial contains 5.8S ribosomal RNA, internal transcribed spacer 2, and large subunit ribosomal RNA". The stretch from base 1 to 120 matches the Rfam family "5.8S ribosomal RNA", at positions 35 to 154 of the family's 154-position model. The record is from RNAcentral.
GAUGAAGAACGCAGCGAAAUGCGAUACGUAGUGUGAAUUGCAGAAUUCAGUGAAUCAUCGAAUCUUUGAACGCACAUUGCACCUCUCGGUAUUCCGGGAGGUAUGCCUGUUCGAGCGUCAUUUGUACCCUCAAGCUCUGCUUGGUGUUGGGUGUUUGUUCCGCCUCUGUGUGUGAACUCGCCUCAAAACAAUUGGCAGCCGGCGUACUUGUUUCGGAGCGCAGCACAUUUUGCGAUCCAGCCCAACGUACAGCGGCAUCCAAGAAGCCUUAUUUAACGCUCUUGACCUCGGAUCAGGUAGGGAUACCCGCUGAACUUAAGCAUAUCAAUAAGCGGAGGA